GAUGAAGAACGUAGCGAAAUGCGAUAAGUAAUGUGAAUUGCAGAAUUCAGUGUAUCAUCGAAUCUUUGAACGCACAUUGCGCCCGCUAGUAUUCUGGCGGGCAUGCCUGUUCGAGCGUCAUUUCAACCAUCAAGCCCUGUUUAGGCUUGUGUUGGGGCCCUGCGGCUGCCGCAGCCCCCUAAAUGCAGUGGCGGGCUCGUUGUCACUCCGAGCGCAGUAGCGUAUCUCGCUCUGGGCGUGGCGGCGGGUGCUAGCCGUGAAACACCCACUAAGGUUGACCUCGGAUCAGGUAGGAAUACCCGCUGAACUUAAGCAUAUCAAUAAGCGGAGGA
This 332-nucleotide unclassified non-coding RNA is filed under the name soil metagenome. RNAcentral's name for it is "partial contains 5.8S ribosomal RNA, internal transcribed spacer 2, and large subunit ribosomal RNA". The stretch from base 1 to 120 matches the Rfam family "5.8S ribosomal RNA", at positions 35 to 154 of the family's 154-position model. The record is from RNAcentral.